Non-coding RNA from Picea glauca (white spruce), 113 nucleotides. The record is from Rfam. NCBI's taxonomy places the organism in Eukaryota, Viridiplantae, Streptophyta, Pinopsida, Pinales, Pinaceae.
GAGAGCACAGUACGAUGAAAGUUGUGAGCUAUGUUCGGGGGGGGUUAUUGUCUAUCAUUGGCCUCUAUGGUAGAAUCAGUCGGGGAGGCCUGAGAGACGGUGGUUUACCCUAU